GAGUGAUUAUCCUGAGAUUGAUUUGCAUUCACAGCAUUGUCUGGGAAUGUCUUUUGUUGUAAAUGAUGAUAGACAAUUGUAGUCUGAUCUGGAAGGAUGUCCGUUCGAAGUUUAUAUGAUGGGUUGGAAUGUGGAGAAAUGUCAAUAAGCAGGGAAGUAAAAUGCGAGCCAAUGUUGUCCUGUUUGAGAACGAGGCUGUGAAUUUGCAAUAAACCCGCAUGGAAAACUGAUUCCAGUCGUAAGAAGCAUAUUGACAUAGGCCCGCAUUACAGUUUCACCUUGAGCCUUGGAAAAAUCUAGCUUCAAAGGAUUUCCCAUUACAGGUAUACCAUCUGCAUAUAAACAUAUGCUACGUAUUCCACAGUUUAAAAAAUUGAAAGGAUUUUCACUAUAAUUUCCCGACAAAGCAUUAGAUUUUACAAAGGCUACAACUACACGAUUUGGUUUUUUACCGGAAAAUAUACUUUCCCAGUUAAAUGAAGUACUACCCUGGGCAAUACUUUGCACUCUACACUCAGUUCGAUUAAAGGGAUAUUUUGCAUUGGUACUUUUUAAUAGUUCGGAAUGACCAAUAAUAAUUGCUGGGUUUAGUCUAACCUUUUUAACCAACAAAUAAGCAUCCAAAAUGUCUAUCUUAUAAUUUGGUGAACUUUCACCUGAACAAAGGCUAAAAGCAGGUUGAGAUCUAUACAUCUUCAAUUUAACAUCAGUUUGAUUUAAUAGAUAUCUCGACAUAGAAAAUAAGUCAUGAUAUAUUGGUCCUUGUAAGUCUAGAGUUUUAGAUUCUGCAAUGUAGAUCGAUCUAAUAAAAAGCCCAUUAUUCCCGCCUGAUGCAGAUGGAUCAUCCGGAUGAUCAUUAUCAUCUUUAUAAAACAACUGCGAUGAAAGUUGAGAUGAUUUAGCAUCCUGACCAUAAUUCAAUAAUGUCUGGAACAUAGCGCAAUAAGGA
Mercenaria mercenaria is the source of this 949-nucleotide long non-coding RNA. RefSeq lists it as uncharacterized. The transcript is spliced from 4 exons. The record is from RefSeq and is a predicted model, not a curated record. NCBI's taxonomy places the organism in Eukaryota, Metazoa, Mollusca, Bivalvia, Venerida, Veneridae.